AAUAAACCAAGUGCACAGGUGUGCCAGUGGCCCCCAACUCACAGACAUCAUUAUUUAGAUUAACAAAGGCCGAGAACAAAAAUAAGUCACAAUAUUUACCAGAAAUUAUGAAGUCAUCUUUACCCCAAUACUUUCACUCAUAGGGUUAAGGCAUUUAAUACAGACUGAACACCUGAACAUUAGUAUGUGCAUGGAGAAAAAAAUAAUUAAAGAAUGUGCACCUAAAUCUAACCAAUAUUUUCUCUGGAGAGUGGAUUUCGAGUAGAAAGUUGCAUUCUAUGCUACCUAUCUGUAACAUUUAUUUGUUUGCAAUAUUUACAUUAUGUUAUUAAUUAAAAAUAUACUAGGUCCCAUGUCCAGUGAGAAUAUUCACAUAUUCAGUAGUUGGGGAACAGCACACUGUUUUUGUUUUACUUAUCUUCAUGAGUGAUUAUAAUUCUAACAGUUCCAAUUGGGGAAGUUAAAUAUCCACUGAGUGUUCAGAAUUCUCAGGUAAAAAAGCCACUGCAAGUGAACACCCAGGACUUACAGAGCCUUGGUGGUUUCUAAUUCAAGACGUAGAUAGAACAAGAAUGCUGCUCUGGAUGUCCAAUUUGGAGAUUUCUAAAAGGAAAAAGACACAGAUUAAAAAUUAUGCUGGAGAACAAAAGUGAUUAAAAGGUAUCAUUCAAAAGAAAUUGUUUUUCCUUGAAUCACAGACAUUAUAUUUAUCUAAGGAUGAACUGGGUUCAAAGCCUGUUUCUAAUUCAGCUGCUCCAGGAAACUAAAACUGAUUCCAAAAGGAAACAAAAAUCAAAGUAGGAGGCCAAAUUCAUGUAUUCAAUGGAAAACAAACUAAAUGAGAGCCUGUGUAUCGCCAUGAGCCUGGGGAACCC
RNAcentral lists this long non-coding RNA (875 nucleotides) under Pongo abelii (Sumatran orangutan). RNAcentral describes it as "lincRNA". Lineage: Eukaryota; Metazoa; Chordata; Mammalia; Primates; Hominidae. The record is from RNAcentral.